UACGGAGGGUGCAAGCGUUAUCCGGAUUUACUGGGUUUAAAGGGUGCGUAGGCGGGUCUUUAAGUCAGUGGUGAAAUCCUCCCGCUUAACGGGAGAACUGCCAUUGAUACUAUUGAUCUUGAAUUCAGUUGAGGUGGGCGGAAUGUGUCGUGUAGCGGUGAAAUGCUUAGAUAUGACAUAGAACACCAAUUGCGAAGGCAGCUGGCUACACGAAUAUUGACACUGAUGCACGAAAGCGUGGGGAUCAAACAGG
RNAcentral lists this ribosomal RNA (253 nucleotides) under uncultured bacterium. RNAcentral's name for it is "partial 16S ribosomal RNA". It matches the Rfam family "Bacterial small subunit ribosomal RNA", at positions 524 to 776 of the family's 1533-position model. The record is from RNAcentral.